UACGUAGGGUGCGAGCGUUGUCCGGAUUUAUUGGGCGUAAAGAGCUCGUAGGCGGUUUGUCGCGUCGGCCGUGAAAUCUCCACGCUUAACGUGGAGCGUGCGGUCGAUACGGGCAGACCUGAGUUCGGUAGGGGAGACUGGAAUUCCUGGUGUAGCGGUGAAAUGCGCAGAUAUCAGGAGGAACACCGGUGGCGAAGGCGGGUCUCUGGGCAGUAACUGACGCUGAGGAGCGAAAGCGUGGGGAGCGAACAGG
RNAcentral lists this ribosomal RNA (253 nucleotides) under uncultured bacterium. Its description in RNAcentral is "partial 16S ribosomal RNA". It matches the Rfam family "Bacterial small subunit ribosomal RNA", at positions 524 to 776 of the family's 1533-position model. The record is from RNAcentral.